GCGCGCGCAGGCGGCCCCUUAAGUUGGAUGUGAAAUCCUAUGGCUCAACCAUAGAACUGCAUCCAAAACUGAGGGGCUAGAGUCUGGGAGGGGAAGAUGGAAUUAGUGGUGUAGGGGUAAAAUCCGUAGAGAUCACUAGGAAUACCAAAAGCGAAGGCGAUCUUCUGGAACAGUACUGACGCUGAGGCGCGAAAGCGUGGGGAGCAAACAGGAUUAGAUACCCUGGUAGUCCACGCCCUAAACUAUGAAUGUUAGUCGUCGGGAGGCUCGUCCUCUCGGUGAUGCAGCUAACGCAUUAAACAUUCCGCCUGGGGAGUACGGUCGCAAGAUUAAAACUCAAAGGAAUAGACGGGGACCCGCACAAGUGGUGGAGCAUGUGGUUUAAUUCGAAGAUACGCGAAGAACCUUACCUGGCCUUGACAUUGAUAGAAUCUGCUAGAGAUAGCGGAGUGCCCUUCGGGGAGCUUGAAAACAGGUGCUGCACGGCUGUCGUCAGCUCGUGCCGUGAGAUGUUGGGUUAAGUCCCGCAACGAGCGCAACCCUCGUCACUAGUUACUAACGGUUCGGCCGAGGACUCUAGUGAGACUGCCUUCGUAAGGAGGAGGAAGGUGAGGACGACGUCAAGUCAUCAUGGCCCUUACGGCCAGGGCGACACACGUGCUACAAUGGGAUGUACAAUGAGACGCAAUACCGCGAGGUGGAGCAAAUCUAUAAAGCAUCUCUCAGUUCGGAUUGUAGUCUGCAACUCG
RNAcentral lists this ribosomal RNA (749 nucleotides) under uncultured Campylobacterota bacterium. RNAcentral's name for it is "bacterial SSU rRNA". It matches the Rfam family "Bacterial small subunit ribosomal RNA", at positions 565 to 1314 of the family's 1533-position model. Lineage: Bacteria; Pseudomonadati; Campylobacterota. The record is from RNAcentral.